GUGGGGAAUAUUGGGCAAUGGACGCAAGUCUGACCCAGCAACGCCGCGUGAAGGAAGAAGGCUUUCGGGUUGUAAACUUCUUUGACAGGGGAAGAGCAGAAGACGGUACCCUGAAAACAAGCCACGGCUAACUACGUGCCAGCAGCCGCGGUAAUACGUAGGUGGCAAGCGUUGUCCGGAUUUACUGGGUGUAAAGGGCGUGCAGCCGGGCCGACAAGUCAGAUGUGAAAUCCCGAGGCUUAACCUCGGAACUGCAUUUGAAACUGUUGGUCUUGAGUAUCGGAGAGGUCAUCGGAAUUCCUUGUGUAGCGGUGAAAUGCGUAGAUAUAAGGAAGAACACCAGUGGCGAAGGCGGAUGACUGGACGACAACUGACGGUGAGGCGCGAAAGCGUGGGGAGCGAACAGGAUUAGAAACCCCAGUAGUCC
Molecule: ribosomal RNA, 427 nt
Filed under: uncultured bacterium
Lineage: Bacteria
Description: bacterial SSU rRNA
Rfam family: Bacterial small subunit ribosomal RNA
Source: RNAcentral